Molecule: non-coding RNA, 930 nt
Organism: Arachis ipaensis
Lineage: Eukaryota; Viridiplantae; Streptophyta; Magnoliopsida; Fabales; Fabaceae
Source: RefSeq, a predicted model, not a curated record
CGCUGCCGCCAUUUCGCGAGGAGAGGACAUUCGCAGAAGGAGCCAGAGGAGGGAGACGAGCCUGAGCCAAGAGCAGGAGGAGGAAGGCGUCGCUGUGCCUCCCGUUGCCGUCGCCAAACCACCGCGCCGCCGUAGCUGUCUCCGGGAAGGUCGUUGAAGCUUGCUGAGGUCUGAAACAAUUCAUCCAUGUCAGUGCUCAUUUUUAUCCCCUGUUCUGCCUCUGCCUCUGGGUUCUGUGAGUUGCCGGAGCUCUCUGCCACUAGGAGCCAACAUUCGAGCUGCCCAGGAAACCACCAUUAGAACCACUACUGUUUUGAGAUUAUUGUAAAAUUACCUUGCCGCCGCCGUUACUGGAGGCAGCUGCCGGCUCUAUUUGGAGAUUGCUAGUGCCAUUGGAGUCGUCGGGAACCAAUGUUGGAGCCGCUCUUGAUGAUUCUGAUGCUGCUACAUAGGUCCCGAGCUACUGUGUUGUUGCUAGAGGAAGGGAACUCAUAGGAAAAACGUCACCGAGGCUGCUGCUUGGUUUAAUUGCGUUGUUAAUGUGACAUUGAGGUAGGGGGUUUAAAAUGAUUUUAAUUUAGGAAUGCCUACAAGGUUUAUUGAAUAACUGCAAAUAGAUUUAAUAUCUGUGAGUAAUUGAUUGACUAUGUGAAUAUUGAAUUGUGGCUGAAAUUGUGAUUGGAAUGGUUGAGAUUGUUAUUUGGAAUUGUUGAUUAGUGAUAUUGAUUGAUUAUGUGGAUUGGGAAUUGCUUGAUGACUAAUUGUUGAGAAUUUCUGAAUGUUAAUGGGUUAUGUUGGAUUUGUUGCCGUUGAGUUGUUAUUUGGUAUAUUUUAAUGUUAAUGAACUUGGUUGGUGGUUGAUUUGGAAUUGGUUUUGAGGGGUUUUGAAGGGUUGGGUUUUGAAUACUAAAUAGAUUGCUGAAAAACUGA